RNAcentral lists this ribosomal RNA (301 nucleotides) under uncultured bacterium. RNAcentral's name for it is "partial 16S ribosomal RNA". It matches the Rfam family "Bacterial small subunit ribosomal RNA", at positions 509 to 807 of the family's 1533-position model. The record is from RNAcentral.
CAGCCGCCGCGGGAAUACGGAGGGUGCAAGCGUUAAUCGGAAUUACUGGGCGUAAAGCGCACGUAGGCGGCUUGGUAAGUUAGAGGUGAAAGCCUGGAGCUCAACUCCAGAAUUGCCUUUAAGACUGCCGAGCUAGCAGGUGAGAGAGGUAAGUGGAAUUCCGAGUGUAGAGGUGAAAUUCGUAGAUAUUCGGAAGAACACCAGUGGCGAAGGCGGCUUACUGGCUCAUACUGGACGCUGAGGUGCGAAAGCGUGGGGAGCAAACAGGAUUAGAUACCCCAGUAGUCCCUGUCUCUUAUAC